RNAcentral lists this ribosomal RNA (498 nucleotides) under uncultured bacterium. RNAcentral describes it as "bacterial SSU rRNA". It matches the Rfam family "Bacterial small subunit ribosomal RNA", at positions 21 to 507 of the family's 1533-position model. The record is from RNAcentral.
GGCUCAGGACGAACGGCUGGCGGCGUGCUUAACACAUGCAAGUCGAACGGAGUGCCCAUGACAGAGGCUUCGGCCAAUAGAUUGGGUUACUUAGUGGCAAACGGGUGAGUAACGCGUAGGCAACCUGCCCUUCAGAUGGGGACAACACCUCGAAAGGGGUGCCUAAUACCGAAUGACGUUUCCUAGUCGCAUGACCUGGAAACCAAAGGCCGGGCAACCGGUCACUGAAGGAUGGGCCUGCGUCUGAUUAGCUAGUUGGUGGGGUAACGGCCCACCAAGGCGACGAUCUCUAGCUGGUCUGAGAGGAUGAUCAGCCACAUUGGGACUGAGACACGGCCCAGACUCCUACGGGAGGCAGCAGUAGGGAAUAUUGCACAAUGGAGGAAACUCUGAUGCAGCCAUGCCGCGUGUGUGAAGAAGGCCUUCGGGUUGUAAAGCACUUUCGGAGGGGAGGAAAAGAUGACGUUACCCUCAGAAGAAGCACCGGCUAACUUCGUG